UAAAAUAUGCAAGUAGGCUAACAACCACGCCGUCCCCAGGAAAAAACAAUCUAGAUCUCAAUUAUCAAAUUCGUACUAUAAUGUAAGAACCAAUUUCAAAUACACUCACAAAAUAUGUGUACUAGUGUCAAUUUUUUUCCUGCAAUACUACCCAUACCAAUUCUUAGUAUCACGGAAAGAAAAUGAGAGAAGUUUACCGGAAAUGCAUCGGCAAAAAAAU
RNAcentral lists this long non-coding RNA (220 nucleotides) under Lupinus angustifolius (narrow-leaved blue lupine). RNAcentral's name for it is "long non-coding RNA (LANG_LNC001675)". The record is from RNAcentral. Lineage: Eukaryota; Viridiplantae; Streptophyta; Magnoliopsida; Fabales; Fabaceae.